This is a long non-coding RNA of Helianthus annuus (common sunflower), 970 nucleotides long. RefSeq lists it as uncharacterized. The transcript is spliced from 3 exons. The record is from RefSeq and is a predicted model, not a curated record. NCBI's taxonomy places the organism in Eukaryota, Viridiplantae, Streptophyta, Magnoliopsida, Asterales, Asteraceae.
CCAAACAAUUCAUAUUUUUUAUUUAUUUAAUAAUAAUUGAUCAAGCCAAAUCACCACACCAACCACCUUCUUCCUCAAUCAUCAGCAUCAGCAACCGCUAUGAAUUCACAAGUUAUACUGGAGAUCGUUGGAUUGAAUUUGAAGGUGGCAGGUGUGCAUGAACGCUUACACUUACCGCACACAGAGCUGGAAAUUAAUUUGCUCUUCUCUGACAAAUUGGUCCAGUCAUGCGGGCUUGUCUUGCUUUCUGCUGCCUUUAUCAGUUCAAGCAAAGCUUCAUUGACCUGAAUUUGCAACGUUUUCGCAUGUAUCAGUCAACUCAUAUUUGACUCUGUAAGAUUUAUGGGUCUGCUUCUUUUUGUUUUACUUGAGGAUAAAAUCAUGAAAGUGUAAAAUGCCAUUUUCGUCCCUGAGGUUUGGCCAGUUUUGCGUCUUUUGUCCAAAGGUUUAUUUUUUCGCAUCUGAAUCCAAAAAGUUUUAAAUCUUGCCAUUCUCAUUUGGCUCGUUAACUCCAUCCGUUUUUCUGCGUUAAGUCGGGUAUUUCCGUCUUUUUUGUUAACCUUAAAGGGCAAUUCAGUCUUUUUCAGGGGUUAUCGUCUUUUUACAUUUUUUACAUAAAGUGAAAAUAACUGAAUCGCCCUUUAAGGUUAACAAAAAAGACGGAAAUACCCCUAACUUAACGAAGAAAAUGGAUGGAGUUAAUGAGUUGGAUACAAAUGGCAAGAUUUCAAACCUUUUGGAUCCAGACGCGGAUAAAACCAACCUUUGGAUGGAAGUCGCAAAACUGGCCAAACCUCAGUGACGAAAAUAGCAUUUUACUCAAUCAUGAAGCUUCAAUAUAUUGUUUUAAUAAAGUCACUCAAUACUUUUUUCUAACUAUAAAAACCACUCAAGUUUCAUUAUUGGUACUAUUGUUGUGAAGUUUUUCAUAAUUGUUUAAACUGAAUACAACGUAGUAGUGACCAAGAUU